UGAGGAAUAUUGGUCAAUGGGCGAGAGCCUGAACCAACCAAGUCGCGUGAAGGAAGACUGCCUUAUGGGUUGUAAACUUCUUUUAUACAGGAAUAAAAAGGCUUACGUGUAGGCCAUUGCAAGUACUGUAUGAAUAAGCAUCGGCUAACUCCGUGCCAGCAGCCGCGGUAAUACGGAGGAUGCGAGCGUUAUCCGGAUUUAUUGGGUUUAAAGGGUGCGCAGGCGGGCUUUUAAGUCAGCGGUGAAAUCUGGACGCUUAACGUCCAAACUGCCGUUGAAACUGGGAGUCUUGAGUAUGGAUGAAGUAGGCGGAAUUCGUUGUGUAGCGGUGACAUGCAUAGAUAUAACGAGGAACUCCGAUUGCGUAGGCAGCUUACUAAGCCAUAACUGACGCUCAUGCACGAAAGCGUGGGGAUCAAACAGGAUUAGAUACCCUGGUAGUCCACGCCGUAAACGAUGAUUACUAGUUGUAUGCGAUAUGAUAGUAUGUGACUAAGCGAAAGCGAUAAGUAAUCCACCUGGGGAGUACGCCGGCAACGGUGAAACUCAAAGGAAUUGACGGGGGUCAUAGCUG
Molecule: ribosomal RNA, 574 nt
Filed under: uncultured bacterium
Lineage: Bacteria
Description: partial 16S ribosomal RNA
Rfam family: Bacterial small subunit ribosomal RNA
Source: RNAcentral